Molecule: ribosomal RNA, 834 nt
Filed under: archaeon enrichment culture
Lineage: Archaea
Description: bacterial SSU rRNA
Rfam family: Archaeal small subunit ribosomal RNA
Source: RNAcentral
GCGGCCACUGCUAUCAAGUUCCGACUAAGCCAUGCGAGUCAAGGUAUCGUAAGAUGCCGGCAAACUGCUCAGUAACACGUGGAUAAUCUAACCUUGAGUAAGGGAUAACUUCGGGAAACUGAAGGUAAUACCUUAUAAUUGCUUAAAACUGGAAUGUUUUUGCAAUAAAAGUUACGACGCUCAAGGAUGAGUCUGCGACCUAUCAGGUAGUAGGUGGUGUAAUGGACCACCUAGCCUCAGACGGGUACGGGCCCUGGGAGGGGUAGCCCGGAGAUGGACUCUGAGACAUCAGUCCAGGCCCUACGGGGCGCAGCAGGCGCGAACACUGUGCAAUGCGCGAAAGCGCGACACGGGGAGCUUGAGUGUCUUGGCAUAGCCAAGACUUUUCUCAUUCCUAAAAAGCAUGAGGAAUAAGUGCUGGGUAAGACGGGUGCCAGCCGCCGCGGUAACACCCGCAGCACAAGUGGUGGUCACUUUUAUUGAGCCUAAAGCGUUCGUAGCCGGUUUUGUAAAUCUUUAGAUAAAGCCUGAAGCUUAACUCCAGAAAGUCUGAAGAGACUGCAAGACUUGAGAUCGGGUGAGGUUAAACGUACUUUCAGGGUAGGGGUAAAAUCCUGUAAUCCCGGAAGGACGACCAGUGGCGAAAGCGUUUAACUAGAACGAAUCUGACGGUAAGGAACGAAGGCUAGGGUAGCAAACCGGAUUAGAUACCCGGGUAGUCCUAGCUGUAAACAUUGCCCAUUUGAUGUUGCUUUUCCGUUGAGGGAAGGCAGUGUCGGAGCGAAGGUGUUAAAUGGGCCGCUUGGGAAGUAUGGUCGCAAGACUGAAACUUAA